AAGACUAUACUUUCAGGAAUCCUUUCUAUAGUUCUUUGCUAGGGACAUUUCUCUGUAGUUUUUCACAUAGAGCACCCCAAACUGUGAGGAGGAGUCAGAGCAUCCUCUUGUGAUCAUGAUGCUGGCUCUAGGUGCUUCUUCCGCCUUUUGCUACUGAUGUUGUUCUUAUCUUCCCUUGGAAGAGGGAGAGGAAGAUGAUGCAAUUUGGGUAG
Molecule: small nucleolar RNA, 212 nt
Filed under: Sorex araneus (European shrew)
Lineage: Eukaryota; Metazoa; Chordata; Mammalia; Eulipotyphla; Soricidae
Description: Small nucleolar RNA U3 (ENSSARG00000017237.1)
Rfam family: Small nucleolar RNA U3
About the family: Small nucleolar RNAs (snoRNAs) are involved in the processing and modification of rRNA in the nucleolus.
Source: RNAcentral